GACGAACGCUGGCGGCGUGCCUAAUACAUGCGAGUCGAGCGAACAGAUGAGGAGCUUGCUCCUCUGACGUUAGCGGCGGACGGGUGAGUAACACGUGGAUAACCUACCUAUAAGACUGGGAUAACUUCGGGAAACCGGAGCUAAUACCGGAUAAUAUAUUGAACCGCAUGGUUCAAUAGUGAAAGACGGUUUUGCUGUCACCUAUAGAUGGAUCCGCGCCGCAUUAGCUAGUUGGUAAGGUAACGGCUUACCAAGGCAACGAUGCGUAGCCGACCUGAGAGGGUGAUCGGCCACACUGGAACUAAGACGCGGUCCAGACUCCUACGGGAGGCAACAGUAGGGAAUCUUCCGCAAUGGGCGAAAGCCUGACGGAGCAACGCCGCGUGAGUGAUGAAGGUCUUCGGAUCGUAAAACUCUGUUAUUAGGGAAGAACAAAUGUGUAAGUAACUAUGCACGUCUUGACGGUACCUAAUCAGAAAGCCACGGCUAACUACGUG
This 497-nucleotide ribosomal RNA is filed under the name uncultured bacterium. RNAcentral's name for it is "partial 16S ribosomal RNA". It matches the Rfam family "Bacterial small subunit ribosomal RNA", at positions 28 to 507 of the family's 1533-position model. The record is from RNAcentral.